This 4431-nucleotide long non-coding RNA is filed under the name Homo sapiens (human). Its description in RNAcentral is "HSALNT0394823". The record is from RNAcentral. Lineage: Eukaryota; Metazoa; Chordata; Mammalia; Primates; Hominidae.
GAAAAAUAAAAUGUCCUAUCCUGUCUUAAAAAACUGAAUUUGUAUAAUAUUGGGUUUGCCUAAAGAGUAAAGCACAUAUACUAAUUUUCUUUUUUGUUGUUAUUUUUUCUUUUUUUUUUUUUAUUUUGAGACAGAAUCUCGCUCUGGAGUGCAGUGGCAUGAUCCCAGGUCACUGCAACCUCUACCUCCCAGGUUCAAGCAAUUCUCUUGUCUCAGCUUCCCAAGUAGCUGGGACCAGAGGCUCCUGCCACCAUGCCCAGUUAAUGUUUGUAUUUUUAGUAGAGACAAUGUUUCCCCAUGUUGGCCAGGCUGGUCUCGAACUCCUGACCUCAAGUGAUCUGCCCGCCUCGGCCUCCCAAAGUGCUGGGAUUACAGGCAUGAGCCACUGCGCCCAGCCAAUUUUUUUAUAUUUUUAGUAUAGGUGGGGUUUCACCAUGUUGUCCAGGCUGGUCUUGAACUCCUGGCUUCAAGUGAUCCACCUGCCUCGGCCUCCCACAGUGCUGGGAUUACAGGCGUGAGUCACUGUGCCCAGCCACAUAUACUAAUUUUCUUUGGAGUAAAGGCACAAGUACAUUCAUUGUACAAGUACAGAAUCCAGGAAAAUCAUCAGAAGAGCUUUGACGUAAAGAGUAUUUGUUACCCAUCAGUAGUUGGUAGUGUGGCUGAUCAUCUCCUUGAAAUGUGCAAACGUGUGUGGUAAAAGUAAAGAAUCGGAGGUAGGGAACUUAUACCAGGCUCACAACUCCACCUCCUGUUCAGAGUAAGUGCUGGGUUGCUGACCAAAUUAGGUCUUCUUGGACCUCCGGAGCAGCCCUUCUGCAUUUCCAGGAAGGAGGUGGACAAGUGGCUAUUUUGGUCUGUCUGUCCAUCUGGCUUGUUUGUGGCUGGCUAGUUCACCACCCAGCUCAUGGUCAGGCUGGAGGAUUGGGUACCUUUGCUCCGACCAGUCAGACAUCCCACUAUGACACAGGCCACUCACUGCAGACUAGAGGGAUUCAACAGGAAAGUCCCACGGGGUAAGCAAAUACCACCACUACCCAAAGUAAAAUUCCAGGCUAGGGGUCAGUGGUGUCCUCAUCAUAGGAAAAAGGGAAAGUACAUCAGAAUUUGACAGAGGAACAAGUACCAAACUGCUGUCCCCAAAUAAAGAACUUACAUCAACAAGGAAUAUAAAAAUGUUAUUUAGGACUUCUGUUCUCAGAUGUUUAAUACAAAGGAGAGAUUGUUGUGCCAGGGAACAAAGUGAUCCAAUAUCCACAAAGCCAGAAUUCUCCUACUGCACAUUUUGUUUCCAAAACACUAAGGAAUACAGCAAGAUUUCAAGUUGGAGUAAAGAAGCUACUUCUGGAAACAAGAGAGGAGAUAACUGAAGACUUUCACAGAGGGGCUGAAAUCCUUCCCGGAAAACUGUGCUCAUCAGGGAACCUCAGCCUAGGGGGCAGCGAGGGUGGACGUUCAUUACUUUUACUCUUCACUGGAAGCAGUCACAUCAUUGCAUCAUCACUCUCUCCUUUACUGGACUGAGCAUUUCCAGAGGGUAAUGCAAUAGGACUGAGGUGAUGGGGCUGGGAAACCAGGUCCCCUGGAUCUAAUCUUGGCUCCACUGUACAAUGGGAUCAAUGUCAAGUUACUCCUCUUCAACUCAGUAUCCUCACCCAUACAAUCGGAAUAAUGGGGCCUACCUUCUGGACUGCUGCAAAUUUUUUUUUUAGACGGAGUUUCACUCUCAUCACCCAGGCUGGAGUGCAAUAGUGCAAUCUCAGCUUACUGCAACCUCUGCUUCCCGGGUUUAAGCGAAUCUCAUUUUUGUAUUUUUAGCAGAGACCGGGUUUCACCAUGUUGGCCAGGCUGGUCACGAACGUCUGACCUCAGGUGAUCCACCUGCCUUGGCCUCCCAAUGUGCUGGGAUUACAGGCGUGAGCCACCACGCCCAGCCUGCUGCGAAUCUUAAAUGGAAUAGUAUAGUAAAACGCUCAGCAUGCAGAUGGCCCCGCCUUUGAAUCCGCGGACUGCACCUUACCCGUCUUCACAUCCUCCUUCAUAUUUGCUCAUAGUAGGGCCUCAUAUUAAAAUUUUUUAAAGAACAACAAAAUGUUUUAUUUCCUCUAGUUUAUUUUUUUCCUGAUAACAUGCUCCCUGCCUGUGCCCUAAACCCUCUCCCUGGCACUGGACUGGAUGCUUCAGAUCAGUUGUGAUUAACAUUUUACACACCCCCUGUAAAACUGGACACUAGCACUCAAGCAUUAUUUUAAUUAACGGCCAGAGAGUGGCAAAAUUAAAUAUGAGAUGACCUACCUCAAUGCUCCACUGUGUCUCCUACCCCUGGAAUUUCAAGGGGCCUUUGUUAAAAGUGAGUGUACAAAGGAAACACAAACAGGCAAAGGAGAGGAGAAGGGAGCAGCAGAGACAGAUAAAAGCCAGGAAAUCACAGCCCGAUUCCCUGCACUGUCUCCAAAUUACUGGUGUCUUUGAACAGCUUGCAUGAUAUUAAAUAUUUUUAAGAAGUUACAAUCCAUGACAAUAAAAACUGUAGUAAAUAUUAACAGAAACUGACAUCGUAGAAAUUUUUAAGGGGAUCAUCCACUAAAGAAAUACAUGAUUUGGAAUAAUUCCUUCCUGUGUAAUCAAUGGGAACGAAGAGAUAGCCAAGAGAUUUGUGGCUCUUCCAGUCAAUAUGACACCCCAAACCUCUUACUUCUCCUAACUUCUUUGGUCAAAGAUAUUUACAGGGCACCCAUGUGGGGAGUACGCUGUCUCAAGUCCUCUCGGGAUGAGGCCUCUGUGGCAAGGGGCUGCAGGGGGCCCAAAGGAAAGAACACGGACUCUCACCGGUGACCCAUGGAAAGAAACCAAGUGCCAAGAUCUGGAGAGGCGCCAGGGUCCUCAAGGGACUGGGAGAACAGCUGCGUGGCAAGUGGAGAAGCACCUGUGGCACUCCAGGUGGCUCCAGCCAGAACUCCAGGCCUCUCUGUCGCCAAUCAAAAUAAACAGUGAAGCAAUCAAAGUGAGCACUCGAGUCCCAUCAGCAGAGCACCACGCUAAGGUCUUGCUGGCAGCAGAGUUUGGGAAGGGGAAGGGCCACAAUGGCAAGGGGAAAGCAAAAGAAAGAGAAGAAAGGGCCCUUGUUCUUGUGCAAUUAUUAUUAAACUUGGAGAAAAUAACACAAUAAAAACAGCUAUCAGUAAUUUAAUACAGGACGAUUUCCUAUAUUGUGGUAUGUGAUCUUCAUAGUCACCUGUAACCCUGGGAUAUAGAUAUUACUAACCCAUUAAACAUUUCAUCCAAGAUUAAAGAAAUAGAGAUGAAACCAGGGCAGUUAGGUCAGUCUGACUCCACAGUUGGUUUUCUCAGCGAUUACACUCUAUCACUUCUUUCUUUGAAACAACCUCACACACCCAUGCAUGCACAUAGAAGAGGAUUUUAUAAUUUAGGCGUGGGGAAGGUCAGUCUUAACUAUGACUCAAACCCCAGAGGCUAUAAAAGAAAAAAAACUGAUAAAUCUGAUUUCAUGAAAAUAAAAAUUUUCUGCAUGGGGAAAAAACACCAUCAACAAAUGACAAACCAGGGACCUAUCUGGAACAUAGAUCACAGACAAAGGAUAUAUUUCUUUAAUAUAUAGGAAAUGCCUAUAAAUCAAUAUGAAAAGAGCCAACGAAUACUAAAUCAGCUAAUAAAGAAAAUCAAGAUAGUUCAUAAACACAUUAAAAGAUGCAUAACGACUCAUAACAAGAAAAAAGCUGGUUAAAAAUACUAGAAGGGUGAACAUCAAAACAUUUUAUUAUAUAGGCAAGGGUGAGGCUAAGAAGGAAGGGGCAAUCUCAUAAACUACUAAUGAGAAAAUAAAUGAGUACAUCCGUUAUGAGGGACAAUCUGGCACUAUCUAUCAAAAUUAUAAAUGCACCUGCCCUUUGGCCGCAAAUUCCAAUUCCAGGAUUUUAUCCUGCAGAUCAACUCGUAUGUGUGCAAAAUGAUGUCUGUAGGAAGCUAAUCUCUGCGGCACUGAUUGUACUAGAAAAUGUUUGAGAACAACCUAAAUAUCCAAAAAGGAGACUGAUUAAAUAAACUAUGGUAUAUCCCUACAAUGGGCUAUUAUGUAGACACAGAAGAGAAGAGGAAGCUCUUAAUAUAUUGAUAUGGAACAAGCCCCAAGGUAUACUGUUAAUCAAACAAAGCAAAUUAAAAAUCUCAAGCAGAAUAGGCUAUCAUAAAUAUAAAAGAAAAUCACAUAGUGUCUACAUAUAUAUUUGUAAAUAUCCCUGGAAAGAUACACAGGGCAUGGGUGACAGGAGCUGCUUUUGGGGAGAAGUGGGAGGUAAAGUGAGGAGGGAGGCUCCUGUCACUGUAUACACUUUGUAUUUUUUGAAUUUUAUAAUAUGUGCUUCUAUUGUCUAUUCAAAAAAUAAAUUGUAUAUAUAAUUUAUUAUAUAUUAA